GAAAACAACACAAUAGAAGGAGAUGAAGAAGAAAAAUUGCAUGAAAUUAAAGAUAGAUAGAAAGACCCUUACUUCUACUAAAUGAUUAACAAAAGAUGGUGUAUCAAACCAUCAAUCACACCUCAUCAAUAGAAGUUCAAACCUUCCUCUUAGGUGACCCAAAGGACUCACACUUCCUCAAGCACACCUUUCUUGCAAAUUUCCCAAGACAAGUGAAAAAUCAUUUCAAUGUUCAAGGGACCUAAUUUCGGAUUCUAAGGCUACACUAGAAGACUAAAGCUACAAAUUAAGAGUAACGUUCAAUAUCAUCAAAAGUCUAAUGAAAAUAGUAUCUAAAGUUUCUAUUUAUACUAUUACAUAACAACUAAAUUACCCUUAAUGAGGCUUAGGGAGAGUUGCCCUUGGAGUGUGGUCUUUUGAAGCGUAAAGACCACUAUGCCCUUAAUGAAUAGGCGCCUAUGUGAUGUAGUGAUCCCUCCUUCUCUUCAAUUUGAUCAAGGCUUUGAAAAGGCUCCAAAAGGGUCUUCAAGCACUUGCCAAAUCCGAACUUGAACCUUCUACAAGACCUUGAAAUCCUUGUGCUCCUCGUGCUUGUAUCAUCCUCUCCAUCUUGAAAGAAUUUGUCCUCAAAUUUAGAUCUUGCAAAAACUAAAGAAAGAGCAAAACAAACACACAAUCCUCUCGGUAGGAAGGUUAGUAUUAGUACCACACUCAUAUCAUCAACCCAUGGUUGCUCACACUUGACAUACACCCACAUAUUCUUAGUAUUUGACAUAAAAGCUUAUCAUAAAGGAUACCAAAUACAUGAAUAACAUCAAUAUCAAAGAUAAAUGAGCACGACCAACAACUAUAAUCUUCACAUCUCAAGAAUAUUCCGGGGUCAAAUGGGAGCAAAUGAUAAGGGUUUAAGUCGAGAUGGCCCACUCCUUUCACUAUGCUACCAAGUUCACAAUUAUUCAAGGCAUUACCCACCCCUAGGACAAACACAAGGUUACUAUGAACAAGAUUAAUAUAAUGGCUUUCAUUACACAAGUUCAAAGAACCAUGUUGAAUAUCAAGACCAUCAUUCCCAGCAUCAACACUAACUUGAAAGUUUUCAACCACACUAUUCUCAUAUUCAAGUAGUGAACUAAUCUUAGGUGUACAUGGUUUAUUAUACAUAUCAAGAGAGCCAACAAGAGAAGAAUCAUAUACACCUACAUCAAGAAAUUAUGAAACCUCUACAUAAGGAAUCACAUGACAACAAUUUGAGCUCAAGGAAAUAUCAGGAAUAGCAUCACUACCUCGGUUUGGACUAGGACAGUCCACUCCUUUGAAGCCACUUUCGGCCAAGGGUCUUUUGAGGCCACUUUCAUGUUAGAUUUAUUGUUGAUCCUUCUUUGAUAAUUCAUGAGAUUGAACCUGAAAAUAAGGAGAAUAAAGGAUAGGUAAAAUUCUAGCCUUUGGGUUAGUGAGUAUCGAGGGACCUUUGUGGGCAAGUCCCACAAAUAAAGUUGUCUCCCCCUUUCCCUUCUCACAAUCUGAAACCUUUUUUCCCUUUUCCUUCUUUAUUUUCUCAUCCAACUUCUUGGUUUUCUCUUGGAUUCCAUUCACACUAGAUGAUGGAAGAGGAAUAAGAGUGAAUCUUCGACCACCAUGCUCAAAAGUGUACCUAUUAGCCCUUCUAUCAUGCAUCGUGUGUCUAUCAAAUUGCCAAGGCCUUCCCAACAAGAUGUGAUAUACAUGCAUAGGGAUUACAUCACACUUCACUUCAUCAAGAUAAUUUCCUAUUUUGAAUCUAAUCACAUAUUGCCGUUUGACCUUCAAUUUACCAUACUUGUUUAACCAUUGAAGCUUGUAUGGGUUCGGGUGAGAGAUAGUGGGUAAUUUUAAGUGAUCAACCAAAGUGACACUAACAAUGUUCACACCACUUCAACUAUCUAUAAUCAUUGAACUCAUACUUCCUUUAGUAAGGUACUUGGUAUGAAAGAGGUCCUCUCUUUGAUCAUCCAAGACCUUACUAAACAAAGUCCUCCAAACCACAUAACUAGGGACAUCACAUUCCCCUUCACAAGGCAACACCUCUUCUUCACUUCUCUCUUGAGUUUUGGGUUCUACGCACUUUCCAUCUUGAGAGUUGUCAUCAUUCCCCUCAGUUUCUAAUUCAAAUUCUUCACCAAGAUAGUACAACCUACCUUCCCUUAGGAUCAUAUUUCUAUGAGUAUCACACUCACUUGCCCGAUGAACCCAACCUUGACACUUGAAACAUUGUAAGCCCUUAGUUGAAGUAGGAAGGGCAUUCGGCUUUACCUCCAACUUUGGAGGUGGGUAUGACACUUGCUUGUUUGAGAUUUGAGAAGAAGGAAAAGAUGAAGAAGAUUUGUUUUUGUUCCAAUCCGAAGUCAAAGGAAUUACCUCUUUGUUUCUUGUUAAACCCGAACAUUGUUAGAUUUUGAACUUGUAAGCCGAACUCUCUUUGUUCUCUUUUUCAAUAUCCAUGGCCGCUUGGAAGACUUCAACCACGGUUCUAAACUUUUAAAGAGUCGAACGGGAUGAUAUGUCCUUGUUCAAUCCAACCUUGAAGCGAAUAACAUCAUGUAUAACUUCUUUACCUCUAUGAUCAAGCAUCAAAAUGAGUUGCUGAAAUUCGUCAUAAUAGGCCAUGGCACUUUUGCUUCCUUGCUUUAGAUUGUAAAGCUUGGAAAGAAGUUCAUGUCUAUAUUGUUCUGGUACAUACCUCUCUCUCAUUACUCUUUUUAAGUCUUUCCAAGGAGGUAGUUGGCCACCAAUUAAGACACUCCCGAACCUCUUAGUGUAAUCCCACCAAGUGUUGGCAUAUCCUUUAAAGUGUGCAAUGGCAUAACAAUUUUUCUUCUUCUCGGUUAAGUCAUUCACUUGGAACAACUUUUCACAAGAAGAUUCCCAAGCUAAGUACACCGCGGGAACACUUUAUCCCUUGAAGAUAGGAAUGCCAACCUUGAUUGAAUUAAUGCCAAUGUCUCAGAUUCUUGGUUGAUCACUAUGCCCAUGCCUUGCAUCUUGCCCUCGGAAUCUACCACAAGGUCCUCUUUGCUCAUAUCUUCCCCCCUCUUCUUUACCAAACCAAUAUCAUCGUGAGGAACUUCAUAGCCUUCGUGCUCCCCUCUACCAUAAUCCUCUAUUUUGAUGGGUGGGUUUUGGAUUUGAGGCCUUUGGGGAAGUGGGUUUGGUCUUUGAUUAUUUGGGACUUGAACUUGUGCUAUUGGGGGUAGUGGAUGGUAAGGUCUUUGCUCCAUGGGAUUAGGUAUUUGGUAAGUGGUAUGUUGUGGAGGUAUUUGGUUCAGAUUUAGUGGUGGAAUUUGAGUUCCAAGUCCCUCUUGUUGGACUUGGUUCAUUUGGGAAUGUAGUGGUCUUUGUAGGGUUCGGUUAGGAGAGGUUUGGGAUUGGUUUAGUGGCUGGGUUUGUGGAGCUCUUGGAGGGGUAAGCAUUUGGUGGAGGGUUUCGGGUGUUAUAGUCAUGGAAGAGUUAUUGGCUUGGACCCUAGACGAUGCAUGGUAGGGAUUAGGAGUAGAAGGUCGGGAUUUCCUUCUACUUUCAACACAAUCAAGCCUUCCACUAAAAGUGAAAAUUUCACCCUUCAUGGUCACUAUUUCACUCCUCAAGGCAUCAUGACUAUCUUCCAUUUUUCGGGCAAAGGCAUCACUAGUACUCUUCACUUCUCGGCCCAAGGCAUCAAUCCGAGCCAUCAAAGCUCCAAUAACAUCAUUUCCCAAAGGUUGGGAAGUAGUUUCUUCGGAUUCCUUGUCAAAUGUACCUAAAAGAACAAAAAAAAAAACAGCAAGCAAACAACCUACAAAAUGAGCAAACAAGUUAGUUCAAAAGCCUCAAUUCACUCACACUCAACCUCACCUCACAAUUGGCCUCACAAGUGUUGGAGAUUCGACAAUACUUGGCAAGUUACUUGAGAUGUGAGAAACUUUGGUCCGGAAUCUAUCUUUGUUUGAAAUGACUCAAAUAAAGCGAUGCACGACUUGAACCAAUAAAAUACUACGACUUAAAAAUGAGAAAAGCACACAAAAACCGAAGACACGAAAUAAACGAACUCUAGACUAAUUACCAACCUAGUAGGUACUUAUUAGUUUGGUAAUUAGUGAUAGAAUUAGCUUAAAAGAAACUAGAAUAAAAAAAAUUAAAAACUAGGAAAUUUAAUUUUAGAGUCAAAUUUGUUUGAGCACAAGUGAUGAUGUGUCACUACAUGGUUGGUUGUUACUUUUCAAAAUUUCAAAUUUCACAAAACCUAAUUUCGGCCAAACACCACUUUGGGAUGAAGAGAGUUUCGGAUUUUGAUGGGUAAGUAAGCAAUUUAGGGUUCUUUCAAGUCUCAAAUGGAAAUGGAAAUGCAAUGGUCCCCCCCUUUGUACUUGCAAGGGUACUUUGUUGUUCCCUUGUCCCCUACUCUUUUUGGAAGAAUGGAAUAUUCUUUGAAUAUGCUUUUGGACCAACAACUUUUUCACUCUCUUUCUUCCCUCUUUUGGAUCAAACAACACCUUUGAAUAUUCUUUUUCACUAAGAUAUGAAGAUCAAGGACAAACAAGAUGAAUAUUCAAGUGUUGACCAAGUUUGACCAACAAGCAAAUGGACUCCAAAUCUGAUUUUUUUUGUAGAUCUAGGUUCGUUAUGCUAAAACAAACUCAACCCACUAAAAAUCAGCCACAAAUCAAGUCACCAACACAAACCCAAAAUGUCACCUUCUCCAAAAAGCUUCAAACAAGCCACAACAAUGGUGGAUCUAGCUCAAAAUCAACCAAACUUCACUCUAAAAGUAGAUCUAGACACUUUUAGUGUUAGAGAACAAGAAUCUACCACUAGAAACUAUCAAAACAAGCUAAACAUUAGUUGAUCUAACUUCUAAAUACGGAUCUAACACAAGACAACACUAAACACCAUUUUUUUUUUGUAUUUUUGAAUUUUUGACUCUUUUUUGUAUUUUCUAAAUAAGAACACUAAAACCAAGAUUUAGGGAUGUUGGAACAACACUAACCAAGACUUUGAUACCAAAUGAUAGCCUAAAGGCUAUGAAUCAAUGAAAAUAGACACAAAAGAUGCAAAAUCCAGCAAGCACAUCAAAAGAAAACAACACAAUAGAAGGAGAUGAAGAUGAAGAAUUGCAUGAAAUUAAGAUAGAUAAAAAGACUCUUACUUCUACUAAAUGAUUAACAAAAGAUGGUGUAUCAAACCAUCAAUCAUACCUCAUCAAUAGAAGUUCAAACCUUCUUCUUAGGUGACCCAAAGGACUCACACUUCCUCAAGUACACCUUUCUUGCAAAUUUCCCAAGACGAGUGAAAAAUCAAUUUCAAUGUUCAAGGGACCUAAUUUCGGAUUCUAAGGCUACACUAGAAGACUAAAGCUACAAAUUAAGAG
Molecule: long non-coding RNA, 5380 nt
Filed under: Capsicum annuum
Lineage: Eukaryota; Viridiplantae; Streptophyta; Magnoliopsida; Solanales; Solanaceae
Description: long non-coding RNA (CANN_LNC009876)
Source: RNAcentral